RNAcentral lists this ribosomal RNA (490 nucleotides) under uncultured bacterium. RNAcentral's name for it is "partial 16S ribosomal RNA". It matches the Rfam family "Bacterial small subunit ribosomal RNA", at positions 30 to 507 of the family's 1533-position model. The record is from RNAcentral.
AUUGAACGCUGGCGGCAGGCCUAACACAUGCAAGUCGAACGGUAACAGGAAGCAGCUUGCUGCUUUGCUGACGAGUGGCGGACGGGUGAGUAAUGUCUGGGAAACUGCCUGAUGGAGGGGGAUAACUACUGGAAACGGUAGCUAAUACCGCAUAACGUCGCAAGACCAAAGAGGGGGACCUUCGGGCCUCUUGCCAUCGGAUGUGCCCAGAUGGGAUUAGCUAGUAGGUGGGGUAACGGCUCACCUAGGCGAUGAUCCCUAGCUGGUCUGAGAGGAUGACCAGCCACACUGGAACUGAGACACGGUCCAGACUCCUACGGGAGGCAGCAGUGGGAAAUAUUGCACAAUGGGCGCAAGCCUGAUGCAGCCAUGCCGCGUGUAUGAAGAAGGCCUUCGGGUUGUAAAGUACUUUCAGCGGGGAGGAAGGGAGUAAAGUUAAUACCUUUGCUCAUUGACGUUACCCGCAGAAGAAGCACCGGCUAACUCCGUG